UUUCGGGAUCUGGAAUCAGUCAGGCGGUUGUUAGGCUAGGGAAUCGAAUAUGCCUGGAAUACAAGCUAGGGAGAGGUAGGCGUACAUGUUUGGCCCAUGUCCAUGUCAGUGACCUUAUCCCUAACCCAUAGAACAGGCCAUCGCCGGCCACAUACCUGCUCUGCCCCUCCGUCUUUGUCUCUCUUCCCCAAACCCGACGGUGGCACUGGUUUCUCUCCGGUGAGAAUCUCCCUAGCCCCUUGCCCUACCCACAUACCCCGUGACCGUGGGAAAGUUGUCACCACACACCGGCUCUGCCGCUAGGUCUCUAUCUCUCUCCCCAACCUCGAUGGCGCCAAGUUUCCUCUCUGGCGACAUGUGCUCCUUUGGUGUUGAGUGCCACGGUUGCGUCUUCUUAUGGCUCGCCGGUCAUGGCCGCGUUUAGAUCCGCGUGAUUGUGUCCCAUUCUAUGGAUUUGAGUUCUCUUGACUCACCACGCACUUCUCUGCAGGAUCCGUGUAGGGACGCCUGAGUUGAUUCCCGAUGUCUUCUCCGUGGACUCUUAGGAUGAGCAUCGCUGAUAGCCAGCUGGCCGGCGGAGGUGAGGGCACACAGCUUUGCGGGGACGCCGACUUAGGUUUGCUCAGAAGCCACCAGUGACUGGAUCAUGAGGUAAUUAUACAAAACUAAAACUCUCUCAUGUACCAUAAUAAGUAGUUUGGUUUCCCAGAUAAUGCUAGACGCUCCUGUUUCUGAGACGCAAACUUCUUGGCAAGAACCAAUCAUCUCAUCUAGUUUCAGUGUGAUAAAUGCUACUGUUAAUGUGCAUAGAUUUCAGUAUGGAAUUCUGCGGUGAGGGUUGGAGAUUGUUGUUUUGGUUGGCAUUUCAGUUGUGGAAUUUGUCAACACCCGAGAACAUUAUUAUUUGUCUGAUUUUUUUGUCGCUGCUGGUAAUUUUGAGAUCUAUAUUUCACUACUAGGGAAAAGCUUAUAGACAGGCGCUUACUAGUAGUGCGGGUUUAUACCCCUCACUACUGCUACUUACUAGUAGCGCAGUUUUUUACCCCUCGCUGCUACUAAGUUGAUAGUAGUAGCGCGGGUUUUUAACCCUCGCUACUACUAAGCAGUCUCUACCGUGCCCCCCCGGGACAUGCCAUAGUAGUAGCGAGGGAUAUGAAACCGCGCUACUACUAAGUUGAUAGUAGUAGCGCGGGUUUAUACCCCUCGCUACUACUAAGUACAAGGUAGGUGAAUUCUCCAUAUCCUCGGUCGAGUCCCUCCUCUCUCCCUCACUCUCCCCCCUCUCUCCAUAGGCUCUCCCAUUCCGCUUCUCCCUCCCAUCCGCGAUUCCCUUCCUCAUCCACCACCACCGCCGGCCUCGCACCUCAUGCCUCCCCCAAAUCAGGCGACCUCCACACCCACCGCAGCCCCCUCCCCCUCCUUCCUCCUCCUUCUCUGAUGUUGGAAGGAGAGGCAGAUCCAGCAGAGCGCCAUCCAUGGCGGAGGCCAGAUCCGCCAUGGACACAACCACACGUGAGUUGUUCUUCCUACUCCUCUCUCUCUCUCUCUCUCUCUCUCUCUCUCUCUCUCUCUCUCUCUCUCUCUCUCUCUCUCUCUCUCUCUUCAUCUUCCAGAUCGAGCAGAGCGCCAUCCAUGGCGUCAUCUAGGGUUUCGGCUCCAACUCCGGUGACCACCGCAGCAACAAAGGAGAGGUGUAUCACCAUGGACGACUCUAUCCCCCCUAGGAUCAGCAUCGACCAUGGAUGAAGAGGAUGAUGAUGCCUAGCUAGCAGAAGCAGCCAUGGCUGGAAUUUAUUUUUUUAAUUCCUAAUUAGUUAGCAGUAGCGAGGCUACAGACCCACGCUACUACUAGUUAGUAGUAGCGCGGGUGGUAUCCACACUACUACUAACGGAUGUAGUAGUAGCGCGGGUGCCACCCGCGCUACUACUACCAGUUAGCUGUAGCGCCGUAUCAGUAGCGCGGGCACCCGUGCUACUAAUGUACCUAAAACCUGCCCUACUGCUAGGCUUUUCCCUAGUAGUGUUUAGUCUGAAAAAAAUCUAGUGUUGAUGUGGAUAGAUUGAAUUCACUAAGAAAAUAAUAUGUUGAUGGGCAAAGAUUGUGUUUUUGGUUGGUAUUUCAAUUGUGGGAUUUGUACAUGGCAGUGGGAUUUUUACCUUUGAGUAAUUUUCACUCAUUUAAUUUUUUUGUUUCAUAUGUAGCUAGCUUCAUA
This is a non-coding RNA of Aegilops tauschii subsp. strangulata, 2213 nucleotides long. The record is from RefSeq and is a predicted model, not a curated record. NCBI's taxonomy places the organism in Eukaryota, Viridiplantae, Streptophyta, Magnoliopsida, Poales, Poaceae.